UGCGUAGGCGGGAUCUUAAGUCAGAGGUGAAAGCCUGGAGCUCAACUCCAGAACUGCCUUUGAUACUGGGAUUCUUGAGUUCGGAAGAGGUGAGUGGAACUGCGAGUGUAGAGGUGAAAUUCGUAGAUAUUCGCAAGAACACCAGUGGCGAAGGCGGCUCACUGGUCCGAUACUGACGCUGAGGCACGAAAAGCGUGGGGAGCAAACA
RNAcentral lists this ribosomal RNA (208 nucleotides) under uncultured bacterium. RNAcentral describes it as "partial 16S ribosomal RNA". It matches the Rfam family "Bacterial small subunit ribosomal RNA", at positions 568 to 774 of the family's 1533-position model. The record is from RNAcentral.